Molecule: ribosomal RNA, 466 nt
Filed under: uncultured bacterium
Lineage: Bacteria
Description: partial 16S ribosomal RNA
Rfam family: Bacterial small subunit ribosomal RNA
Source: RNAcentral
GAUGAACGCUGGCGGCGUGCUUAACACAUGCAAGUCGAACGAUGAAGCUCAGCUUGCUGGGUGGAUUAGUGGCGAACGGGUGAGUAACACGUGAGUAACCUGCCCUUAACUCUGGGAUAAGCCUGGGAAACUAGGUCUAAUACCGGAUAGGAGCGUCCACCGCAUGGUGGGUGUUGGAAAGAUUUAUCGGUUUUGGAUGGACUCGCGGCCUAUCAGCUUGUUGGUGAGGUAAUGGCUCACCAAGGCGACGACGGGUAGCCGGCCUGAGAGGGUGACCGGCCACACUGGGACUGAGACACGGCCCGGACUCCUACGGGAGGCAGCAGUGGGGAAUAUUGCACAAUGGGCGAAAGCCUGAUGCAGCGACGCCGCGUGAGGGAUGACGGCCUUCGGGUUGUAAACCUCUUUCAGUAGGGAAGAAGCGAAAGUGACGGUACCUGCAGAAGAAGCACCGGCUAACUACGUG